This 106-nucleotide unclassified non-coding RNA is filed under the name soil metagenome. RNAcentral's name for it is "partial internal transcribed spacer 1". The record is from RNAcentral.
GUGAACGCCCUCACGGGCUUAUACUAUUCCAAACCUCUGUGUACCGUGCCCUUCGGGGCUAUUUUACAAACAUGGUGUAAUGAACGUCAUAUAUCAUAACAAAACA